RNAcentral lists this ribosomal RNA (381 nucleotides) under Triticum aestivum (bread wheat). RNAcentral describes it as "partial small subunit ribosomal RNA". The record is from RNAcentral. Lineage: Eukaryota; Viridiplantae; Streptophyta; Magnoliopsida; Poales; Poaceae.
CAAGUCUGUUGACCGAAGGAAUACGGCGGACUAGGAGUGCCGAACCUGCGCCUACUCAAUACGUCUCUCAGAUCGCAAUGGCCGUGGCUUCCACGGACAGACCCAGGCAGAUCAUGGGCGGAAUUCAACUUACAAGUCUCAUCGGACUCGAUGGCCAUCUACAAAGCAGCCACCAAGUGCACCGUCGGAGGCGGCUCCACAAUUCUAUUUUGGAUAGAUUGGUGGCUUUAGGAGGGGCGCAUCCAAGAUAUCAUGCCCAGCCUAUUCGGUGCGGUCAACAAGACCAUAAUAAAGUUCAAGACGACGAGUAAAGAAAUCUUAGGACAAUGGUGGCGCGAUGUGACACCCAACAUGGCCGCCCAAGCAAUGAGAAAUGUCUAA